Long non-coding RNA from Bos indicus x Bos taurus (hybrid cattle), 664 nucleotides. The record is from Ensembl. NCBI's taxonomy places the organism in Eukaryota, Metazoa, Chordata, Mammalia, Artiodactyla, Bovidae.
UACUCAUACACCACUUUUAGUUAGGGGAAAAAACCUCUAAGAAUAUUAAAAUGACAUCUUUGUCUUUCUUAGUGCAGCAGCUGAGACUUAAUAUUUACCAAAACAAAAGAGAAGCAUAGAGGAAGAUAGAAUGGCUUCGUGCCCCGAUCCCCUGAUCCUCCAACCUGACAGCAGUGUUUGCAAAGGGUGUUCUGGUCACGGCAGCUGUGAAGGCGGUCAAAGCCUCAGGGACCAGCCACCCCUCAGCAGCCCCCUUCCUGGGCUGGUCAGACUGUGUACCAGGGACCCACCAGGAGUGAGAGCUAUCCCAUAAGGAUCUUCAGCUGCGAUGUUACUUGGUGCAGAUGAAGAUGAGCUGGGCUCCAGAGCAAGGAUUCAUCAAGGUAGGGCAGGUGAAGAGAUGGUUUUUCUUUAUUCAUUAAAAAAAAAAAAAAAGAUUUCCUUUAGCUUGAAGCUAUUGUUUAAUUAAAAGGUUUUUCUCCCUGGCUUCCCCUGCUCCUCUCUAUGCUCCUCCUGCAAACAGCCUGCCUGCUAAAUGGUUUCCCAGUUAUGAACAGACAAAAUCAGCCUUUCAUGUAAUCCGCCCUCUGUGGAGCACACCACAUGGGCGAUGCUUUCAGUUUGAGCCUCCACAGUAGAAGAUUCCACCUGCGAUACAGGAGAC